UCACGACUCUCGGCAACGGAUAUCUUGGCUCUUGCAUCGAUGAAGAACGUAGCAAAAUGCGAUACCUGGUGUGAAUUGCAGAAUCCUGUGAACCAUCGAGUUUUUGAACGCAAGUUGCGCCCGAGGCCUCCUGGCUAAGGGCACGUCUGCCUGGGCGUCACGC
This 163-nucleotide ribosomal RNA is filed under the name Zoysia japonica (Korean lawngrass). RNAcentral describes it as "5.8S ribosomal RNA". It matches the Rfam family "5.8S ribosomal RNA". From Rfam's summary of the family: 5.8S ribosomal RNA (5.8S rRNA) is a component of the large subunit of the eukaryotic ribosome. It is transcribed by RNA polymerase I as part of the 45S precursor that also contains 18S and 28S rRNA. Lineage: Eukaryota; Viridiplantae; Streptophyta; Magnoliopsida; Poales; Poaceae. The record is from RNAcentral. RNAcentral also lists the same sequence under 1 other name.